Molecule: ribosomal RNA, 253 nt
Filed under: uncultured bacterium
Lineage: Bacteria
Description: partial 16S ribosomal RNA
Rfam family: Bacterial small subunit ribosomal RNA
Source: RNAcentral
UACGUAGGGGGCUAGCGUUGUCCGGAAUCAUUGGGCGUAAAGGGCGUGCAGGCGGUUUGUUUAGUCUAGGGUGAAAGCUCCCGGCUUAACUGGGAGAGGUCCUUGGAUACUGGCAAACUUGAGGGAGGCAGAGGAAAGUGGAAUUCCCGGUGUAGUGGUGAUAUGCGUAGAUAUCGGGAGGAACACCAGUGGCGAAGGCGGCUUUCUGGGCCUUACCUGACGCUGAGACGCGAAAGCGUGGGGAGCGAACCGG